UAGGGAAUCUUCGGCAAUGGGGGCAACCCCUCGACCGAGCAACGCCGCGUGAGUGAAGAAGGUUUUCGGAUCGUAAAGCUCUGUUGUAAGAGAAGAACGUGUGUGAGAGUGGAAAGUUCACACAGUGACGGUAACUUACCAGAAAGGGACGGCUAACUACGUGUCAG
RNAcentral lists this ribosomal RNA (167 nucleotides) under uncultured bacterium. RNAcentral's name for it is "partial 16S rRNA". It matches the Rfam family "Bacterial small subunit ribosomal RNA", at positions 355 to 511 of the family's 1533-position model. The record is from RNAcentral.